GUUGUUUUCUAAACUUUCAUUACAUUGAAAAUUCACAAUUAAAAAUUUUGCAGAAACUCUCCUUGAAUCUAGUAACAACAUUUUGCGAAUUGCUUAUAUUGCUGAAUAACUGCUUUUUUCACACAUAAAAUAACAAAUUUAAUUCUAUCAACUACUGAACGCACAUCUUUUAUAAAAAAUAUUUUAUGUUGGCUGGUAUUCAGCCU
Molecule: long non-coding RNA, 206 nt
Filed under: Bos taurus (domestic cattle)
Lineage: Eukaryota; Metazoa; Chordata; Mammalia; Artiodactyla; Bovidae
Description: long non-coding RNA NONBTAT010663
Source: RNAcentral